AGCAGCUGGUAGGUUGUAUCAAACUUGCUACAGUUCUUCGGUAGACUUUGACUGCCUCGCUUGCUUCUGGCUAUCCAGGAAUCCAGCCAGUCAGAACGCCAGGAUGCCAGGAUAAUGCUGGAUCCCCAACCAUCAUCUCAAACCAUUCAGAGUUUUCCACCUGGGACCACAGAGACUGGGCAAUGUGGCCCAGAGGAGUUUACUGGAGCAACACUCC
Molecule: long non-coding RNA, 217 nt
Organism: Conger conger (European conger)
Lineage: Eukaryota; Metazoa; Chordata; Actinopteri; Anguilliformes; Congridae
Exons: 3
Source: RefSeq, a predicted model, not a curated record